GAUGAACGCUGGCGGCGUGCCUAAUACAUGCAAGUCGAGCGAACGGACGCGAAGCUUGCUUCUCUGACGUUAGCGGCGGACGGGUGAGUAACACGUGGAUAACCUACCUAUAAGACUGGGAUAACUUCGGGAAACCGGAGCUAAUACCGGAUGAUAUUUUGCACCGCAUGGUUCAAUAGUGAAAGACGGUUUUGCUGUCACUUAUAGAUGGAUCCGCGCUGCAUUAGCUAGUUGGUAAGGUAACGGCUUACCAAGGCAACGAUGCAUAGCCGACCGGAGAGGGUGAUCGGCCACACGGGAACUGAGACACGGUCCAGACUCCUACGGGAGGCAGCAGUAGGGAAUCUUCCGCAAUGGGCGAAAGCCUGACGGAGCAACGCCGCGUGAGUGAUGAAGGUCUUCGGAUCGUAAAACUCUGUUAUUAGGGAAGAACAUAUGUGUAAGUAACUGUGCACAUCUUGACGGUACCUAAUCAGAAAGCCACGGCUAACUACGUG
RNAcentral lists this ribosomal RNA (497 nucleotides) under uncultured bacterium. Its description in RNAcentral is "partial 16S ribosomal RNA". It matches the Rfam family "Bacterial small subunit ribosomal RNA", at positions 28 to 507 of the family's 1533-position model. The record is from RNAcentral.